Cydia splendana is the source of this 367-nucleotide long non-coding RNA. RefSeq lists it as uncharacterized. NCBI's taxonomy places the organism in Eukaryota, Metazoa, Arthropoda, Insecta, Lepidoptera, Tortricidae. The record is from RefSeq and is a predicted model, not a curated record. The transcript has 2 exons.
AGUGCGACCCACUUUGGAAGUGUCUCUCGCGCAAACUAUUCAGUUUAGAAAAAAAUGAUAUUAGAAACCUCAAUAUCAUUUUUAAAGAUCUAUCCAUAGAUACCCCACACGUAUGGGUUUGAUGAAAAAAAAAAUUUUGAGUUUCACCCCUAAGUAUGGUGAACCCCCAAAAUUUAUUGUUUUUUUUUCUAUUUUUGUGUGAAAAUCUUAAUGCGGUUCACAGAAUACAUCUACUUACCAAGUUUCAACAGUAUAGUUCUUAUAGUUUCGGAAAAAAGUGGCUGUGACAUACACGGACAGACGGACAGACAUGACGAAUCUAUAAGGGUUCCGUUUUUUGCCAUUUGGCUACGGAACCCUAAAAACA